AGCUUUGCGCAGUGGCAGUGUCGUAGCCGGUGAGGUUUAUUCAAGGCGAGAUUGUUGCUAAUUGAAGAAUUCACUCUGAGUGUUUGCUUUACAUUUUUUCUUAAAAUGUCCACGUU
This is a small nuclear RNA of Camelus dromedarius (Arabian camel), 116 nucleotides long. Its record names the gene U4. It matches the Rfam family "U4 spliceosomal RNA". Rfam says of the family: U4 small nuclear RNA (U4 snRNA) is a component of the major U2-dependent spliceosome. Lineage: Eukaryota; Metazoa; Chordata; Mammalia; Artiodactyla; Camelidae. The record is from Ensembl.